RNAcentral lists this non-coding RNA (19 nucleotides) under Rattus norvegicus (Norway rat). The record is from RNAcentral. Lineage: Eukaryota; Metazoa; Chordata; Mammalia; Rodentia; Muridae.
AUGUUUGAAAUGCAGAGGC